UUUCCCUUUUUGGAACACGAAACAAGGAGUUUAUUUUACAUGCGAGUAAAUGAGUAUAUGAAAAUUAUUUGCAGAAAAAACUUGACUGUUAUGGGGAUUCGUGUUAUACCCUUGUGUUUGCCCCUCCCUUCCGUGGUAUUGCUAUCAACCUUCCCCGCAAAGGGUAUGGGCCAUAUACAAUGAGCCUGCCGGAUGGGACCCGAAAGAUGGUGAAAUAUGCCUGAUCCGGUUGAAGUCAGGGGAAAACCUGAUGGGGGGCCGAAACAAUUUUGACGUGCAAAUCGAUUGUUGGAAAUGGGCAUAGGGGGGAAAGGAUAAUUGAACCAAUCUAGUAGCUGGUGGCUUCCGAAGUUUCCCUCAGGAUAGCUGGAGCAUAAAAUGUCCAACAACUCAUACCUGGUAAAGCGAAUGAUUAGAGGCCUUAGGAACGAAAUGUUCUUAACCUAUUCUCAAACUUUAAAUGGGUAUGUAAGCUAACAUACUUGAUUGAUGUUGGCCUGGUGUCGUCGCAAGACGACUGUAAGAUUGUAUGCUCCAAGUGGGCCAAGUUUUGGUAAGCAGAACUGGUGCUGCGGGAUGAACCGAACGCGUUGUUAAGGCGCCCAAAUAAACGACGCAUCAUCGAUACCAUGAAAGGUGUUGAUUGCUGAAGACAGCAGGAUCAGGAUUCGUU
This 673-nucleotide ribosomal RNA is filed under the name Limnophyes minimus. Its description in RNAcentral is "eukaryotic LSU rRNA". It matches the Rfam family "Eukaryotic large subunit ribosomal RNA", at positions 645 to 1256 of the family's 3401-position model. Lineage: Eukaryota; Metazoa; Arthropoda; Insecta; Diptera; Chironomidae. The record is from RNAcentral.